Molecule: non-coding RNA, 73 nt
Organism: Bos taurus (domestic cattle)
Lineage: Eukaryota; Metazoa; Chordata; Mammalia; Artiodactyla; Bovidae
Source: Rfam
UCCCUGGUAACUCAAAUGGUAAAGAAUCUGCCUGCAAUGCAGGAGACCCAGAUUCGAUCUCUGGGUCAGGAAG